RNAcentral lists this ribosomal RNA (305 nucleotides) under uncultured bacterium. Its description in RNAcentral is "bacterial SSU rRNA". It matches the Rfam family "Bacterial small subunit ribosomal RNA", at positions 335 to 638 of the family's 1533-position model. The record is from RNAcentral.
UGGCCUACGGGACGCAGCAGUGAGGAAUAUUGGUCAAUGGACGGAAGUCUGAACCAGCCAUGCCGCGUGCAGGAAGACGGCUCUAUGAGUUGUAAACUGCUUUUGUACAAGGGUAAACCUGAAUACGUGUAUUCAGCUGAAAGUACUGUACGAAUAAGGAUCGGCUAACUCCGUGCCAGCAGCCGCGGUAAUACGGAGGAUCCAAGCGUUAUCCGGAUUUAUUGGGUUUAAAGGGUGCGUAGGCGGAGUGUCAAGUCAGCGGUAAAAUUUCGGGGCUCAACCCCGUCGUGCCGUUGAAACUGACG